RNAcentral lists this ribosomal RNA (435 nucleotides) under uncultured bacterium. RNAcentral describes it as "bacterial SSU rRNA". It matches the Rfam family "Bacterial small subunit ribosomal RNA", at positions 43 to 524 of the family's 1533-position model. The record is from RNAcentral.
CAGGCCUAACACAUGCAAGUCGAACGAAGCCUUCGGGCUUAGUGGCGCACGGGUGCGUAACACGUGGGAAUCUGCCCAAAGGUACGGAAUAACUCAGGGAAACUUGUGCUAAUACCGUAUGAUGCCGAAAGGCCAAAGAUUUAUCGCCUGGGAAUGAGCCCGCGUAGGAUUAGCUAGUUGGUGGGGUAAAGGCCUACCAAGGCGACGAUCCUUAGCUGGUCUGAGAGGAUGAUCAGCCACACUGGGACUGAGACACGGCCCAGACUCCUACGGGAGGCAGCAGUGGGGAAUAUUGGACAAUGGGCGAAAGCCUGAUCCAGCAAUGCCGCGUGAGUGAUGAAGGCCUUAGGGUUGUAAAGCUCUUUUACCCGGGAUGAUAAUGACAGUACCGGGAGAAUAAGCCCCGGCUAACUCCGUGCCAGCAGCCGCGGUAAU